CUACGGGAGGCUGCAGUGGGGAAUAUUGCACAAUGGGCGCAAGCCUGAUGCAGCCAUGCCGCGUGUGUGAAGCAGGCCUUCGGGUUGUAAGGCACUUUCAGCGGGGAGGAAGGCGGUGAGGUUAAUAACCUCAUCGAUUGACGUUACCCGCAGAAGAAGCACCGGCUAACUCCGUGCCAGCAGCCGCGGUAAUACGGAGGGUGCAAGCGUUAAUCGGAAUUACUGGGCGUAAAGCGCACGCAGGCGGUCUGUCAAGUCGGAUGUGAAAUCCCCGGGCUCAACCUGGGAACUGCAUUCGAAACUGGCAGGCUAGAGUCUUGUAGAGGGGGGUAGAAUUCCAGGUGUAGCGGUGAAAUGCGUAGAGAUCUGGAGGAAUACCGGUGGCGAAGGCGGCCCCCUGGACAAAGACUGACGCUCAGGUGCGAAAGCGUGGGGAGCAAACAGGAUUAGAUACCCCAGUAGUC
This 464-nucleotide ribosomal RNA is filed under the name uncultured Klebsiella sp. Its description in RNAcentral is "bacterial SSU rRNA". It matches the Rfam family "Bacterial small subunit ribosomal RNA", at positions 339 to 795 of the family's 1533-position model. The record is from RNAcentral. Lineage: Bacteria; Pseudomonadati; Pseudomonadota; Gammaproteobacteria; Enterobacterales; Enterobacteriaceae.